GUCGGGAUAGCUCAGUUGGUACAGCAGAGGACUGAAAAUCCUCGUGUC
RNAcentral lists this transfer RNA (48 nucleotides) under Hopkinsia adscendens. RNAcentral describes it as "partial tRNA-Phe". The record is from RNAcentral. Lineage: Eukaryota; Viridiplantae; Streptophyta; Magnoliopsida; Poales; Restionaceae.